UGAAGUUUUGUGUUUACUAAAUUCUGGUAUUGCCAUGGUUAGCUGUGCUCUAAAUUCUGUUGCACAGUUUUAAAGGCACGAUGUUUAUACUAAAACAUAUAGGAUUUCCUCAUAAUUAUGAUUAUUAUUAUGUAUACUUCAAAAUCUCUAUGUAUGCGUGAUCCAAACAAAUAAAUAUUAUUUUUAGAACAUUGUUUUAGAUCUACUUAACACAUUUCAAAUAAGUACCAAUUAAAAUUUGGGAAAAAAUGAUGACUUAUUGUCAUCACUUGAUCUGCGUCGACGUCUCCCUUGCCUGGUUAAGUCUUAUGUUUUGGUCAGCUUUUCUCUUAAACUAUCGAAGCUGAUGCUUUAAAACUUGCAACAAUUGUUCAUCAUCAUUCGCUGACUUUGUACAGCAAGAAAGAUAAUUCAUUCCUGCUUUUUGCAAGAAUUAUGGCCCCUUUUGGACUUAGAAAAUACCAGAUUUCUUGGUUAAGUUUUGUGUGAAGGUAAACUUUUCUCCUUUACGGUCAAAGCUAUUGCUUUAAAACUUGAAGCAGUUAUUCACCAUUAAAAGCUGACUCUGCACAGCAAGUGCUGUAAUUUUACAUUGCCUUUUGCAAGAAUUAUGGCCCCUUUUGGACUUAUCAUAGGUUAGGCAAUAUUUUUAUUACACAAGACAAAAAAAUCAGAUGAGCAUCUGCACCCGCAAGGUGAGCUCUUGUUAAUUAUGCGAUAAAUCAGUUAGACAAUACACACAUGUGUUACCAGCGAGUAUCAUCAUACUUGGAAAAUGUCAGGGAACAUAAUCUGGCAGCAAACUCUCCGGGCUUGUUUGCUACCCAAUUACAUUCCCUUAGAUUCCCCAGCACAUGAUGAUACGAGCCGGUAACACACUUGUACGUAUUAUCUAACUUAUACUUGUUCUUCAGACUAGCAGAGGAGUAGCUAGACUGUCUUAAUGUUAAACUUAUGUAAAGUAUGAUUGAGAUUCCAGAAUUCUUAUACAGACUAUGAGGGGAACCAGUUUGGUUUAGUGUUAAACUUCGCUGUGAUUGAGUUUCCAACAUAGAGAGCAUUUAAUUCACUGUAUACAUGUUCUAUCAGAUGAAUAGCCAGACUGUCUUAAUAUAAAAUUUCACUGUCAAGGCGUGCUUGAGUUUCAAACAUGGGGAGAGUUAAUAUACAGACUAGCAGGGGUACCAUACUGGUUUAAUUUUAAAUUUCACUAUCAAGUUAUGACUUGGCUAAUGGAGAGAAUUGUUCUACAGAACCAGACGGGCUCUCAUGAACAGACUCAAUCAAACCGAGUCUGCUAUUAUUCUUCUUGGUUGCAUUCUUUGCUUCCAAAGGAUCUUUUUACAGAUUUUAUUAAUGUCAGACAUUACUCUCAAUGUAUGACUGUACUGACAAUUUUAUAUUAGUGAAGUCUUAAUCUAUAAAGGUAUGAUUUAGUUUCCUCAUUCUGAUACUUGUAAAGGAGUAGUUAGAGUCUGCUAGACUAUGGAGCCUAGAGUCUGCUAGACUGUGGAGCCCUAAGAGUCUGCUAGACUGUGGAGCCUAGAGUCUGCUAGACUGUGGAGCCUGCAGCUGUACUAUGAAGGUGAAGAAUGUGGUCACAUAUUAACAAAUUUCACCAAGACAUCUACAACUAUUGUAAGUCCGAGAGUUUCCUUCUUGAUAGCAAUGUCUCUGUCCAUAUCCUCCUGUGGGGAGCUGAUUACAGUGCUUGGUUAAUGAUGAAGCUGCUGGUAUCAAAGUCUUAAAGGAAAUUAUCAUUUACGUUAGGUAUGUCAAGGAUGGGAAAAACGUUAUUGGAUUAUUAAAACUGGUUUCUCUGGUAGUCUGAACUGCAGCACCCAUAGUUUCUACAGUUAUGUCCCUUCUGGAGUGUUUACACCAAAUGGGAAGUCCAGGAUUUGGAUCCUGAUUCAGGCACCAGAUAUUUCUGAAAACUUCUGAAUGUCUUCCACACACCUAAGACACCAGCACUUGUACAUCCCAGGAAAGAGGGCACUGCAUACAUCAGUGCUCUACACAGGGUAUGUGAAGGAACCAGGCUCAGUCACAUGUAGCUAAUGGGUAUGAGAAGGAACCAGGCUCAGUCACAUGUAGCUAAGGGUAUGUGAAGGAACCAGGCUUGGUCACAUGUAGCUAAGUUAGGUAAAUGAAACUAUUGGUAUUUUUCCUGAACAAGAAAAGCAAUGGCACGUCAGAAAUUUACAAUGCAGGAGACAAGAACAGUAGCAACAAGUAUUAGAGCAAAGAAACAAAAAAAUAAGUUUCAAAAAGAGAGAGUAAUAAAGUCAGAACUUAAUGACAGCAAAGAGGGGACAACAUAUGAAAGAAGUAUUGAGCUGAAGGAGUCUGGAGAAACCAUGUGAUGUUCCAUCCAUACAGUCAUCCAGUUUAUACAGAGUAGGCCUGUAGCAGAUACUCAAAAUGAAGAGGAAGGAAUGAGAGAACAAGUCACAUUAUAGAGAUAAGUGCCAGGAGGGAAGAGGAAACUUUCAACUGAUAUAUUCAUCAAACUGAAAAUCGGCAACAAGGCUGUAGGCAUUAUCUAAAUAACAUAUCUAACAAUCUUGUUUAACUGAGAAGUACCAGUAACAGAAGCUUUAUAAUGGUUCAUCACCUUCCUGGAAAUCAAUGUUUUAACAGGCUACAGUGUUCAGUCUGUCUUACAUUUGCACUAAAAGCUGUCAGUUUAGUGGAAAUGUGUAUGGAUUUAUUGAUGUGAAAGAUCUCAUAAACAGGAGUGUCUUGCGCUGCAUAUUUUAGGUGAAUAGUUUUCUAAUGAAGCUCACAAUGCUGUGGCUGAUGCCUCCAUUUUACAACAAUUGUUAAAGCAAUGUCUAGAUGAAUUGCAGGAAAGGUGUAGGUCAUUAUACCCCCACCAAACAUGUUUGAGGGGGGUAUAUAGGAGUCAGUUUUGUCGCGUCCCGUCGCGUCCCGAAAUCUAUUAUCUCAGUUAUUACCAAAUGGAUUUGAUUCAAACUUAAAAUACAUGUUCCACCUUAUCACCGACAUCAUCUGACACAAGGUACAUAACUCUUGACACCAAGUUUUCAUGAAUUAUGUCCCCUUUUACUUAGAAUUUAAGGUUACUUUUGUUGUAUUUUCACUAUAUCUCAGUUAUUACUAAAUGGAUUUGAUUCAAACUUAAAAUAGAUGUUCCACCUCAUCACCCUCAUCAUGUGACAUAAGGUGCAUAACUCUGACACCAUUUUUGUUAUGAAUUAUGCCCCUUUUUACUUAGAAUUUAAGGUUGAUUUUGAUGUAUUUUCACUAUAUCUCAGUUACUACUGAAAGGAUUUGAUUCAAACUUAAAAUAGAUGUUCCACCUCAUCACCCACAUCAUGUGCUCACAUCAUGUGACACAAGGUGCAUAACUCUGACACCAAGUUUUCAUGAAUUAUGUCCCCUUUUACUUAGAAUUUAAGGUUAAUUUUGUUGUAUUUUCAUUAUAUCUCAGUUAUUACUAAAUGGAUUUGAUUCAAACUUAAAAUAGUUGUUCCACCUCAUCACCCAGAUGAUGUGACAUAAGGUGCUUAACUCUGACAUAAAUUUUUUAUGAAUUAUGUCCCCUUUUACUUUAAAUUUAAGGUUGACUUUGAUGUAUUUUCACUAUAUCUCAAUUAUUACAAAAUGGAUUUGAUUCAAACUUAAAAUAGAUGUUCCACCACAUCACCCACAUCAUGUGACACAAGGUGCAUAACUCUGACACUAUUUUUCUUGAAUUGUGUCCCCUUUUACCUAGAAUUUAAGGUUAAUUUUGAUGUAUUUUCACUAUAUCUCAUUCUGAUUGGCUUAGAGCCAAAGGGAAGUAACCUUUUUUUAACCUUUGUACUGAGUUUCUUCCCCUUAAAUUCCAGGAAUUAGUCUAUUUUUAGAAAUCCUAUUUUUAGAUUUUCAAUAUUUUAGGUAUUUUUCUAACUUUUUUAUUAUAAGUCCUAUGUAAAAAGUAAAAACAUUUUUCCGUGGUAACAUGGGUCGGUAAGACACCUUUUUGUAUUCACUUUUAGUGUAUCUCUAAUAUUAGAGAUUUAAUAUAUUUACUAGUAUUAUACUAGUAUUACUUAUAUGUGGAAGCCCAGGAUGAAGUACUCCAAAGUAUUUUUAAGAUUCCUUAUGGUUGCCAUUCUUCUGUGACAAGACCGUAUGGUGGGGGUAUGAGUCACUCCUGUGACAGUUCUAGUUUUUAUCAGUGCUGUUUAUUCAAAAUGUUCAAGCUUAACAGGAGAAAAAUUGAAACUUGCUUCCAUUAGUUUACAAAGAUUUGAAUUUAAAAAUUAUACCCAGAUGAUACAAUUUUAAGGGAAAGGAACAUCUAAACACAUGGGUAAUUGACCAGAAUCAUCUCUCUUUGUAUUAUUAAGGACAUUGACUCAUUUAAUAAAACAUUAUUUUUCUAGCUCGACUGUUUGAAGAAUGAUCUAGCUAUUCUAUUUACCCUGGCAUCGGCAUCACACCUUUGUUAAAGUUUUGCAUGCAAGUACAUAUGGCUAUCAUUUAAAGGCAUAUAGCUUUGAUACUUAAUUUUUCUUUUUCUAGGUUAAUUACCAACCUCACUGGGUCAAUUCCCAUAACUCUGAAAUGUAUUUUGCCCCCUUUUGGACUAAGAAAAUCCUGGUUAAAGUUUUGCAUGCAAGUUACUAUCUCCAAAACUAAUGCAGAUAUUGAAAUGAAAUUUCACAUGGGUCUUAGGGGUUAUAAAACUAGGUGAUAGCAUCAAGUCCCAUAACUCUGACAUUUUUGUCAAAUUAUGCCCCCUUUUGGACAUACAAAAUCUUGGUUAAAGUUUUGUAUGCAAGUACAUAUGGCUAUCAUUUAAAGGCAUAUGGCUUUGAAACUAAUUUUUCUUUUUCUAGGUCAAUUACUAACCUCACUGGGUCAAGUCCCAUAACUCUGACAUGUAUUUUGCCCAAAUUAUGCCCCCUUUUGGUCUUAGAAAAUUCUGUAUAAAGUUUUGUGUGCAAGUUACUAUCUGCAAAACAAAUGCAGAUAUUAAAUCGAAACAUCAGGGCUAUAAACUAGUUGAUUGCAUCAAGUCCUAUAACUCGACGUGAUUUUGGCCAAAUCAUGUCCCCUUUUGAACUUAAAACUUCUGUUUAAAGUUUUGCAUACAAGUUACCAUCUCCAAAACUAAUGCUGAUACUAGAUUGAAACUCUAUAGAUAUUUUAACAUUUAGGGUAAUAUUCCUGCUUCUGGGACAACGAUUCAAAUAGUAGAGCACUGUGUCACCUCAGUGCAAAAACUGGAUAACUUCAAUGACAUAAAGGACUUAUUCACUUUUUGCGCUAAGGUGACGAUAUUUAGUCUGGCUGUCUUACGGACAGCUCUUGUUAAAAAAAGAUAUGACAAUUUGAAUUUCCUGUAAAAAGGCAGGUUGUUUUUAGAUCUUUAAUGUUUUCUAUGAAAUUUAAACGCAUAGUUCAACAAUUUUGUUUUCCCCUUUGAAUCUGUCAUCAAAAUUCUGAGAUUUUUUGUACUAACUUGAUGCAAUUAUAAAUAAAUAAAGGAAUAAUAUGUAACAAAAUAAUGUUUUAAUUAACUAUUCAAACAAUGGGAAUCAUUUCAUGAGGGCACAGUCUGAGUUGAGUAUUCCACAUGGCUUAUAACCUAUUGCCAGAUUUUACUACAAAAAUCAGUAAAAACUGAACAUUUGCAAAAAUCAGGAAGUACUAGGGUUCCAGCUUCUCCUUUCAUUACAAACUUGAAGCCUGCAAUGAAACAUAAAAUUGGAAUUUUGAAAAGUGACCAGUAGAAACUGGUAUUUGAAAGCAUAAACCGCUUCCAUCAUUAAUGAACAAGGUGUUCAGUAGAGGAAAGAAACAAAUGAACAUUCCUGUCUUUCAUCUCACACCAAGAAAAAAGCAUUUUUAAUUGUGUAAAUAUAUUUGUAAGUUUUAUUUGAAAAUGCAGAUGAUUUGUCAUGUUAACAUUAUUUUUCAUAUUUGUCAAAGGUCAAUUUAAUUCAUUAAAAGUUGAAUACUAG
Mercenaria mercenaria is the source of this 5981-nucleotide long non-coding RNA. RefSeq lists it as uncharacterized. The transcript is spliced from 7 exons. The record is from RefSeq and is a predicted model, not a curated record. Lineage: Eukaryota; Metazoa; Mollusca; Bivalvia; Venerida; Veneridae.